AGAGAUUAAACUGAAGAGUUUGAUCCUGGCUCAGAUUGAACGCUGGCGGCAUGCUUUACACAUGCAAGUCGAACGGCAGCGCGGGCUUCGGCCUGGCGGCGAGUGGCGAACGGGUGAGUAAUAUAUCGGAACGUACCCAAGAGUGGGGGAUAACGUAGCGAAAGUUACGCUAAUACCGCAUACGAUCUAWGGAUGAAAGCAGGGGAUCGCAAGACCUUGUGCUCCUGGAGCGGCCGAUAUCUGAUUAGCUAGUUGGUGGGGUAAAGGCCCACCAAGGCAACGAUCAGUAGCUGGUCUGAGAGGACGACCAGCCACACUGGAACUGAGACACGGUCCAGACUCCUACGGGAGGCAGCAGUGGGGAAUUUUGGACAAUGGGGGCAACCCUGAUCCAGCAAUGCCGCGUGAGUGAAGAAGGCCUUCGGGUUGUAAAGCUCUUUUGUCAGGGAAGAAAAGGCUGCGGCUAAUAUCCGCAGCUGCUGACGGUACCUGAAGAAUAAGCACCGGCUAACUACGUGCCAGCAGCCGCGGUAAUACGUAGGGUGCAAGCGUUAAUCGGAAUUACUGGGCGUAAAGCGUGCGCAGGCGGUUUCGUAAGUCUGUCGUGAAAUCCCCGGGCUUAACCUGGGAAUGGCGAUGGAGACUGCGAGGCUAGAGUUUGGCAGAGGGGGGUAGAAUUCCACGUGUAGCAGUGAAAUGCGUAGAGAUGUGGAGGAACACCGAUGGCGAAGGCAGCCCCCUGGGUCAAAACUGACGCUCAUGCACGAAAGCGUGGGGAGCAAACAGGAUUAGAUACCCUGGUAGUCCACGCCCUAAACGAUGUCUACUAGUUGUUGGGUCUUAAUUGACUUAGUAACGCAGCUAACGCGUGAAGUAGACCGCCUGGGGAGUACGGUCGCAAGAUUAAAACUCAAAGGAAUUGACGGGGACCCGCACAAGCGGUGGAUGAUGUGGAUUAAUUCGAUGCAACGCGAAAAACCUUACCUACCCUUGACAUGGAUGGAAUCCCGRAGAGAUYUGGGAGUGCUCGAAAGAGAACCAUUACACAGGUGCUGCAUGGCUGUCGUCAGCUCGUGUCGUGAGAUGUUGGGUUAAGUCCCGCAACGAGCGCAACCCUUGUCAUUAGUUGCUACGCAAGAGCACUCUAAUGAGACUGCCGGUGACAAACCGGAGGAAGGUGGGGAUGACGUCAAGUCCUCAUGGCCCUUAUGGGUAGGGCUUCACACGUCAUACAAUGGUACAUACAGAGGGCCGCCAACCCGCGAGGGGGAGCUAAUCCCAGAAAGUGUAUCGUAGUCCGGAUUGUAGUCUGCAACUCGACUACAUGAAGUUGGAAUCGCUAGUAAUCGCGGAUCAGCAUGUCGCGGUGAAUACGUUCCCGGGUCUUGUACACACCGCCCGUCACACCAUGGGAGCGGGUUUUACCAGAAGUAGGUAGCUUAACCGYAAGGAGGGCGCUUACCACGGUAGGAUUCGUGACUGGGGUGAAGUCGUAACAAGGUAGCCGUAUCGGAAGGUGCGGCUGGAUCACCUCCUUUCU
Molecule: ribosomal RNA, 1540 nt
Filed under: Duganella sp. Root198D2
Lineage: Bacteria; Pseudomonadati; Pseudomonadota; Betaproteobacteria; Burkholderiales; Oxalobacteraceae
Description: bacterial SSU rRNA
Rfam family: Bacterial small subunit ribosomal RNA
Source: RNAcentral